Molecule: long non-coding RNA, 203 nt
Filed under: Lathyrus oleraceus (garden pea)
Lineage: Eukaryota; Viridiplantae; Streptophyta; Magnoliopsida; Fabales; Fabaceae
Description: Pisum sativum (pea) long non-coding RNA (PSAT_LNC030983)
Source: RNAcentral
ACGAUCAUAGGGUGGAGCGACCACUGAAAGCAGAAGAGGGUCAGAAGCCUGAACUUGAAGGUCCCGCAGUGGAUAAUGUCGGUGGAAUCGGGCGAUUCACCAGGAGUGGUAGACUGUUCUCACCACCGGUUAUCCAAGCUGAUAAUGCUGAUGCUGUGGCGAAAGCCAAAGGCAAGCAAGCCGUGAAUGGGGGUACCUCUACA